GUUUUAAUAGUUUAAAAUAAAACAUUGGUCUUGUAAAUCAAAAAUAAGUUAUAUACUUUUAAAACU
RNAcentral lists this transfer RNA (66 nucleotides) under Parachauliodes japonicus. RNAcentral's name for it is "tRNA-Thr". It matches the Rfam family "tRNA". Rfam says of the family: Transfer RNA (tRNA) molecules are approximately 80 nucleotides in length. The record is from RNAcentral. Lineage: Eukaryota; Metazoa; Arthropoda; Insecta; Megaloptera; Corydalidae.